CCCACCGCGUCACUCGCGCGAAGGUCACUUCAAACGACAAGGGACCCGGGCGCUCUUUGCCUCUCCGUCCACCGUGUGAAUUGCGUGCUCCGCCGGACUUCGGGAUAACCGCUCGGUCGGCUUCAUAACUCCCACCGCACGGGUCGCCUCCGCGCGGCGGCGAGGAGGGCUCCACGACGGAGACCAGUGCGUGCGGGUGGGCGGGCGGGCUCAUCUUUUAUCGUGCGCCCGCACUGAGCGGAUCGCUGCUCCCAAAUCGCAGACCCCAGGGCGCGCGUUGCUUCCCCGGCGCAGCGCAGGAUGUCGGAUUCGCAGGCCGUCGCCGGCGGCGAGUCUCCCGCCGAGCUUCUGCUCCGCGCGGCGGCGAUGGCGCCCGCGGAGCGCUACGCGCUCGCCGCCGUCGCCGUCGUGUCGGUCUUCCUGUACCGCUUCCUCGAGCUCCACGUCAUCGGCGACGCCCUCCGCGGCUUUCGGGGCGGCCGCGUCGAGCUCACCUUCCACCCGGCCUCGGAGAUCUACCACCGCGUCGCGUCCAAGUGCCGCUCCCUCCACGGCAGGUACCUGGCGACACCAUGGCUGGCAAGCCCGCAUCUGCAGACAUUGUUCCUCGGCAUCUCUGGGAGGCCUCCAUCAUUCACGUACAAGAGACAACUGUACACAGUCCGGGAUGGUGGAACCAUUGCUCUGGAUUGGCUUCUUGCCUCUGAUCUGGAAGAUGCAGACGGUUUUAUUUCUAAAGAUGAUUCAACACCUCUUGUAGUUGUGGUUCCCGGAUUAACUAGUGAUUCUGCUGCUGCUUAUGUAAAACACUUGGUUUAUUCUAUAGCAAGCAAAGGAUGGAAUGUUGUCGUAAGCAACCACAGAGGUCUUGGUGGUGUGUCCAUUACUUCAGAUUGUUUCUACAAUGGCGGUUGGACUGAAGAUGUCCGAGAGGUCAUUAAUUACCUCCAUCACAGAUACCCACAGACCCCACUGUUCUGCAUUGGUACAAGCAUAGGUGCCAAUAUUGUGGCCAAGAAUCAGCACGAUCUAUUUUUACAAGAAGCUGGUUGACACAGUCCAUUCUUCAUAAUCUUUCUCCACAUAUGUUACGGAUAUAUUUCCAAGAGAAGUACUGAAUGAGGUCAAGUAUCUUGGAGAAGAAGGCGAAAAUACUCCCGUGGCUGGAGCAGUGUCUAUUUGUUCUCCAUGGGAUCUGUUGAUUGGUGACAGAUUUAUUUCCCGCAAGUUUGUGCAACGUAUUUAUGACAAAGCACUUGCAAUUGGUCUGAAGGGCUAUGCAAAGCUACAUCAACCUAUCUUGGCCCGACUUGCAAAUUGGGAAGGUAUUAAAAAGUCACGAUCUAUCCGGGAAUUCGACCACCAUGCUACCUGUGUUGUUGCAAGAUAUGAGACGGUGGAUACCUACUACCGCCGGUGCAGCAGCGCUAGUUAUGUUGGCAACGUGUCAGUUCCCUUGCUUUGUAUCAAUGCUUUGGAUGAUCCCCUUUGCACAAGGGAGGCUAUACCUUGGGAUGAAUGCAGGGCCAAUAAGAACAUUGUUUUGGCAACUACUCCAAAUGGUGGCCAUCUUGCAUUCUUUCAAGGACUAACUGCUGGAAGAUUAUGGUGGGUUGGAGCUGCUUCUGAGUUCCUCUUUGCUCUUCAUGAAAGCUCUUACAUGCAUCGGCAGAAGGCAAAUGAUCAUGUUUUGCACUCUUCUUUGGAAUCAUCUAUUGAUAAGAGCCCAUAUGUUAAUAUCAUGGAAGAUGGAAUGGUAGCUCCAGUAACAAAAGAUGGCCCUGGCAAUAAUGAUGGCUCACCUUCUGACCAUGAGGUUGGAGUACAGUUAAGUAACGGGGUGGAUGGCAGACAACAGUUAGAAGUAUCUGGCGAGAAACACAAUGAACACGUCAGUGGAUCAGGGAACGAAAGCCCUGCUGGUUCAGCAAAUCGGCAAGGAGAUGGCAUCUACAGUAAUAAGCUUCAUGAGAUAAUUGCUCCCGUCAAGAGAUCCAUAAACCAACUGACACGGCACCAACGGAAGUCAAUCUGGUUGCUUGCCUACAUUGCUUUUGUAACAUCAUGGCCGCUCCUCGGCUCCCUAGCUUUUAUCACCUUUCGGAAGAAGUUCAGAAAUCCAUUGCGAGCUAAAUGACUAACAGGAUAAACAAACCCUACUUGUAUUGAUUUCGACUGCGUCAUUCAAAACAUUAGAAACCUGAAGGCCUGUACAUCCAUUUGAUUUGUUCAGUUAAGCCUAUAUGUCCAGGAUAUAAGCUGUCCUGCUCAUGGUACAUGUACACAUCCAAAUAAUUUCACUUGCGUCACGAAGAAAAGCUUGUAUUCAUCUGCUCAAUGGAAUCUGGUGUAAGAAACAUGUAGAUGGGGAGCAUAUUUUUUUCCAAAUUUAAAUGACUUUCUGUCAA
Molecule: RNA transcript, 2408 nt
Organism: Panicum virgatum (switchgrass)
Lineage: Eukaryota; Viridiplantae; Streptophyta; Magnoliopsida; Poales; Poaceae
Gene name: embryogenesis-associated protein EMB8-like
Exons: 15
Source: RefSeq, a predicted model, not a curated record